Molecule: ribosomal RNA, 654 nt
Filed under: uncultured bacterium
Lineage: Bacteria
Description: bacterial SSU rRNA
Rfam family: Bacterial small subunit ribosomal RNA
Source: RNAcentral
GGCGCAAGGGUGAGUAACACGUGGGUAACCUGCCCUUGAAACCGGGAUAACUUCGCGAAAGCAUUGCUAAUACCGGAUAUAGUCCUUUUUGCCGUGGCAUGAAGGAUGAAAGGUGACCUCUUCAUGAAAGUUGCCGUUGAAGGAUGGGCUCGCGCACCAUUAGCUUGUUGGUAGGGUAAUGGCCUACCAAGGCUACGAUGGUUAGCUGGUUUGAGAGGAUGACCAGCCACUCUGGAACUGAAACACGGUCCAGACUCCUACGGGAGGCAGCACUGAGGAAUUUUGCGCAAUGGGCGAAAGCCUGACGCAGCAACGCCGUGUGAGUGUAGAAGGCCUUCGGGUUGUAAAGCUCUGUCAAGUGGGAAAAAAUGCUUUUAGUGAAUAGCUAAGGGAGUUGAUGGUACCACUAGAGCAAGCACCGGCUAACUCCGUGCCAGCAGCCGCGGUAAUACGGAGGGAGCGAGCGUUGUUCGGAAUUACUGGGCGUAAAGGGCGUGUAGGCGGAUAGGCAAGUCAGAUGUGAAAGCCCCGGGCUUAACCUGGGAAGUGCAUUUGAAACUGCCGAUCUUGAGUAUGGGAGGGGAGAGUGGAAUUCCCAGUCUAGAGGUGAAAUUCGAAGAUAUUGGGAGGAACAUCUGUGGCGAAGGCGACUCU